GAGGCGCUGGCGAUUGCAGGCACCUAUGUCCGCAAAAAGCAGGAUCCAUUCACUUCAGAGAAAGAAGUGCUCUCAACAGGCGUGGAGGAAGAAGUGCCCCUCAACAGGCGUGGAGGAAGCUUCUCUUGGGUUCUUUUCCCUUUUAUACUUUGGAUUCCAUUCAAGCCUUUUUCCAUCCCAGUGAGGUAAGAAUCCUGUCUUUUUCAGACUUAUAUUUAUUAUAUAUAUUCAAGCUUAGGAAAUAUCUGUCAUUUCUCGUUUUAAAACUUUCCUCUUUCCUGCUUAAAGUAGAACAGUGUCAUCAGCUUCUGAAGGUUAAUGCUGAGCAGUUUUCAUUGAUGAGGAUUCUGUGCCCGUGGUUCACCUGGAGGUGAUUCCAUGAACACACUUUCUUCAUAUGUGGAUUUAACAUGCCUUUUUUGAAGAAAGAAAAAUGGAGCUCCUAUGAACCAGUGUGUGAUGCGCUCGUGGACAGACUCGUUCUGAUUUCAGAGGCCACACGACUGGCAGGUGUGGGCUGGAGGCAGCAGCAUGUGCGUGUCUGUCUGUCCUGUGUGGAGCCAAAUCAUCACUGUCAGUGCCAGAAGCCUUCCAAAGCCCACUGCCGUGGGAUUGGUGUGUGUCCUGCUCCCGGCCGGAAGAAGCUGGCCCUGGAUCCGCCUGGCCCGGCUGCUCUGCGUCACCCCUUUGCUUGCUUCGGACAACAGUGGGUCUGGGGCUGCGGAGGCUCUCCGGGUGGCCUUAAGCUUGCUUUCUCCUAAACCUGUGCUGUUUGUCCUUGGCCAGCGGCUUUGGCAUCAGCCAGGGAGUGGGGGAAUGAGGUCAGAGCCAGCAGGAGUCCGGGCUGUGCGGGACAGCAGAGGUUGCGUCUUCCCAGAGCUGCAGGCAAAGGGACAGGAUGUGCCUGCUGUAUGCAGGGCGCGGCUCUGCUCGCCCUGGGCUGGGCCAGGGGUGCUGAGCGGGGCUGGAGCCGCAUUUUCUGUGGCGAGCUGUCCUGUCGGUGCUGUGCCGGGAUCACCAAGGGAGUCGGUCGGAGGCUGUCCGUGAGCUGGUGAGACAGCAAGCCAGGAAUCCAGCCGCAGGUGGGGAGAAAAUGCAGCUCAAACCGGUGGAGCUGCAAGGGGCCCACAGACCACCUUCAGACGCUGCAUGCGGCAGACGCUUCCCCAACCCCCGGGAGAGGGCUGGGCCUGGGGGCCUGGCGGGCCCUGCGCUCUUCCCUCAGGUCCUGUGCUCGGCAGAAGGACUUGCUCCUACCCUCCGAGGGGGCUACCUGCCGAAGCCGAGUUCAGCAGUCCCCGACGGUGGGCUUCUCCGCGCAGGCGGUGUGUGGGGGUGGGUGGAGUGUAGACCAGUUGUGAGUAAGGGCAGCACCCCCAGCCCCACGGGGCUGUCACAGCUCAGGCCCUGCAGAGCUGUGGGGUUUGGCUGGUGUGGGUGGCAACCCCUCCUGAGUGCCUGCUGCAGGCGGGCUCUGAGCCAGGGCUUUCCCUACAGCCACCUGGCCGUGGGUCACAGAUGCACACACCACAGCACCCGGCUGGGCACUGGGGUGACGCUGGGCUUGGCUUUGAGCUCCGUGCCUCUGUGCCCCAUAUGCCCCUCAGAGCUCUGGUGACAGUGCGGGGCCGCCUGCGUAGGACGCCCAGGGCUCCUUGAUCUUUUAGGAACUGUGGCACCCCCGAAGCUGUGAGAGGUGCAGAGGUGCUGCCGUCUUGGGCCAGGCCUCAUCUUCCUCCUUCUGCGUUCUGGCCCCGGCACCCAGUCCCAAGAGCACGGCGGCUGCGACUUGCUUCUGGCCAGGGCAGGUGGUGGUGUCAUACCCAGGAUGGGAACCCACACUUGAUGUCCUCCAGGGUUUUUUUACAUUAUCUUAAGGACUGACAGACUCCCACCCCAUCUGCUCCCACCUGUCCCUAAUUUCAUGCACCUCCGCCUGAGUUCCUGCACGCGUUUCCUGAAUAAACACACCCCUGUGCCAGUCAGAACCCGCGGGGGUUUUGGAAGUGGGAACCCAGCAAGGCAGCUGGCCAGGGGGCGGCCCUGCCUUCCGGGGAGCACCGGUGCCCAGGACUCUGCUUCUGAGACUGGCCUGUACGAUGAUUUUGUAUAAAUAUCUCCAGUUAGAACCUUUUAGUGUAUUUCUUAAUAUAACAAACUGGUGUCUUAAAAUACAAGACCAGCUGCCCAGCGAUCGGCACCAGAUGGAGCAGCGGGGCUCGCAGUGGCCGGGAUGCCUGACAGUGGAAUGCUGAGGCUGUGUUCCUGGACCCGAAACUCAGCUAGAGACUGGGUCCCUUGCAGAUUUGCAGGGACCGUCCAUCACUGGUGUGUAGAUGCAAAAACAAAACACUGGCACCACCCAGUCAGAACUGGCAGGGGCUGCCUGCACUGGGCACCAACCCUGCAGAUGGUCAGGCCCAGACCACGUGACUGCCUGCCGGGCUCCACCCCCAACCGCAGCCCAGCCAAGGCCGAGAGGGGGCUGCACUUCCGCCGAUCAGAGGUCCAGAUAGAGCUCCGUCUGCUUGAAGGGGUCGACUGCGUGACAUCGAGUUUCAUAAUCAGUGGGACACAUCUAUUUUUGCACGGUGUUUUACUUCACGUACCCUGGAAACCCUUCUCAUCGCGAGCUCUUCCCCUUGGUGCGUGAGUGGCCAAGCACCGGCCCUGCAGGGCAGCACUGUCGCUCUCUCGAGUCU
Long non-coding RNA from Symphalangus syndactylus (siamang), 2702 nucleotides. RefSeq lists it as uncharacterized. Lineage: Eukaryota; Metazoa; Chordata; Mammalia; Primates; Hylobatidae. The record is from RefSeq and is a predicted model, not a curated record.